UUAACUAUUAUAUAGUACUUAGGCAAUAUGAACAAACAGAGUUUUAGGUCCUCUGGCAGGCACUAACCAGCCGAAGCUGGUGGUCCGAGGACGGGCCGCCAAAGCAACAAAGGUAUAAUAAACAAAGGGUGGGAGGUAUACCCCGAAGGGCAACGUCUCUUUAAUGAUCCGUCCGCAGGUUCACCUACGGAAA
RNAcentral lists this unclassified non-coding RNA (193 nucleotides) under uncultured fungus. RNAcentral describes it as "sequence contains ITS1". Lineage: Eukaryota; Fungi. The record is from RNAcentral.